GUACUCACUUUGGUAGCACUUAUACUAAAAUUGCAGCGAUACAGAGAAGAUUAGCAUGGCCACUGUGCAAGGAUGACAUGCAGAUUUGUGAAGCGUUCCAUGUUUUU
Small nuclear RNA from Talpa occidentalis (Iberian mole), 107 nucleotides. The record is from RefSeq and is a predicted model, not a curated record. Lineage: Eukaryota; Metazoa; Chordata; Mammalia; Eulipotyphla; Talpidae.